This 465-nucleotide ribosomal RNA is filed under the name Vreelandella stevensii. RNAcentral describes it as "partial 16S ribosomal RNA". It matches the Rfam family "Bacterial small subunit ribosomal RNA", at positions 338 to 795 of the family's 1533-position model. The record is from RNAcentral. Lineage: Bacteria; Pseudomonadati; Pseudomonadota; Gammaproteobacteria; Oceanospirillales; Halomonadaceae.
CCUACGGGGGGCAGCAGUGGGGAAUAUUGGAAAAUGGGGGCAACCCUGAUCCAGCCAUGCCGCGUGUGUGAAGAAGGCCCUCGGGUUGUAAAGCACUUUCAGUGAGGAAGAACGCCUGGUGGUUAAUACCCAUCAGGAAAGACAUCACUCACAGAAGAAGCACCGGCUAACUCCGUGCCAGCAGCCGCGGUAAUACGGAGGGUGCGAGCGUUAAUCGGAAUUACUGGGCGUAAAGCGCGCGUAGGUGGCUUGAUAAGCCGGUUGUGAAAGCCCCGGGCUCAACCUGGGAACGGCAUCCGGAACUGUCAAGCUAGAGUGCAGGAGAGGAAGGUAGAAUUCCCGGUGUAGCGGUGAAAUGCGUAGAGAUCGGGAGGAAUACCAGUGGCGAAGGCGGCCUUCUGGACUGACACUGACACUGAGGUGCGAAAGCGUGGGUAGCAAACAGGAUUAGAUACCCUAGUAGUC